This 253-nucleotide ribosomal RNA is filed under the name uncultured bacterium. RNAcentral describes it as "partial 16S ribosomal RNA". It matches the Rfam family "Bacterial small subunit ribosomal RNA", at positions 524 to 776 of the family's 1533-position model. The record is from RNAcentral.
GACAGAGGUGCCAAGCGUUAGGCGGAAUCACUGGGCUUAAAGCGUGUGUAGGCGGGUGCCUAAGUACCUUGUGAAAUCCCACGGCUCAACCGUGGAACUGCUGGGUAUACUGGGUGCCUUGGGUCAUCUAGGGGCUGCCGGAACAAAUGGUGGAGCGGUGAAAUGCGUAGAUAUCAGGAGGAACACCCGUGGCGAAAGCGGCUCUCUGGGACGGUACUGACGCUGAGACGCGAAAGCGUGGGGAGCAAACAGG